GGAAUUUUGCGCAAUGGGGGAAACCCUGACGCAGCAACGCCGCGUGAGUGAUGCAGGCUUUCGGGUCGUUAAGCCCUGUCAGAGGGGAUGAAACCCUUGGAGGAUAAUACCCUCCAGGAUUGACGGUACCCCCAAAGGAAGCACCGGAUAACUCCGUGCCAGCAGCACCGGUAAUACGGAGGGUGCGAGCGUUGUUCGGAAUUAUUGGGCGUAAAGCGCGUGUAGGCGGUCUGUUAAGUCUGAUGUGAAAGCCCCGGGCUCAACCCGGGAAGUGCAUUGGAUACUGGCAGACUUGAGUACGGGAGAGGGUAGUGGAAUUUCGAGUGUAGGGGUGAAAUCCGUAGAUAUUCGAAGGAACACCGGUGGCGAAGGCGGCUACCUGGACCGAUACUGACGCUGAGACGCGAAAGCGUGGGGAGCAAAC
This 424-nucleotide ribosomal RNA is filed under the name uncultured bacterium. Its description in RNAcentral is "bacterial SSU rRNA". It matches the Rfam family "Bacterial small subunit ribosomal RNA", at positions 358 to 773 of the family's 1533-position model. The record is from RNAcentral.